AGUUUGAAAAGCCUUACUCAAGAAAGACCACUGUAGCUUGACUGUAGCUUGCAUAUGGAUGGGACAGACAAGAACAACUGAGGUGCUUGCAAAGGUUACUCAGAUCAGAUGGACAGAAUGAGAGAGGCCUUGUCAAGUAGACCUUUAAGCUAGACAAUGAAGCAAGGGAACAAGUCAUACAUCAAAGAGACAGGAAAAGAUUUUCAAGUAGAGAGAACAAUGGAAAGAAGAGAGCUUGGAUCAUUCAGAGCAUAAAGGAAUUCAACCUGGCUGAAGUAUCAAGAGAAUGGAGUAGAGAGUGAUGUGUGUAUAUUGACAUAUAUUUUAAAGAUAAGAUUGAUAGGGCUAGAUGAGAGUAAUGAGGGAGUAAUUAGGACUUACUCACCGUGGAACAUGCCUGUCACCAAGUAGAACUGAAAGGAAUAAACAACCAUCAUUAUCUGAAUCCAACACAUUCCCGACGGAGUCUCUCUCUACUCAUCUCUGAUCAGACUCACCCUCACUUUCUCCAGGUUAACUGCAAUACUUUCUCACUUGGAUUAGAGUAGAAAAGAAUGAUGUUAUUUUAUUCUUUUGUGGACUAUCUCUAGGCAACAACAGUUUAUAAAGCUGGAUAUGUGGGUAUCACCUGAAAAUUAGCCUGCUUUCUCUGAAACAGCACCACAAAAAUACCUGUGCACCCUAUAUCAGUCAAAAUGCAGGCUGUCAUAGCCAAAGAGGUACUUGGGUUCCUUCAUCCAAAGCACACCUCUUUGUGUUAAC
This 762-nucleotide long non-coding RNA is filed under the name Marmota monax (woodchuck). The record is from RNAcentral. Lineage: Eukaryota; Metazoa; Chordata; Mammalia; Rodentia; Sciuridae.